Lagopus leucura (white-tailed ptarmigan) is the source of this 1370-nucleotide long non-coding RNA. RefSeq lists it as uncharacterized. The transcript is spliced from 2 exons. NCBI's taxonomy places the organism in Eukaryota, Metazoa, Chordata, Aves, Galliformes, Phasianidae. The record is from RefSeq and is a predicted model, not a curated record.
UUAACUAUCUUCCUGCUACCAUAAGCUAAUUUGAUUUCCCAGGACUCAUUUCCUCAGCUAAUUGGAACUUCAGUUGCCACAUGUGUAAAUUUUGCCUUGCAGCUGUAUUGUUUUAGGCCAGUUGAACAAAUUGUUCAGGAUGGGUUGUGGAUGGGAGCAGCAUCUCUGGUCUUCUAGGCCAGCCUUUGGCUGGCUUGCUGCACCUUCAGGAGUGUCUGCUAUGUCUCCAUGGGUUUGAGUAUGGUGAUCUGAGGAAGGCUGCCCUGCUUUUCUCUUGUGCUACUUCCAGAUCUCCCCAGGCUGGUGGUUUGUUUUUUUUUUUUUUUUUGUGAGGAACAAGCAUGUGUUGCUGGGGGUGAGGUUGGUUGUUUGAGGCUGUGGUGCUGGGUGAACACGGGAAGAAGAGGGGUGUUCCCUUCAGAAACGAAGAGAGAAGACAGAAGGAUAAAUGGAGGCUUGUUUUUUCUGCGCCUCUGCACUCAAACAAAACCCACAAAAACCAGACGUACUGUGGUAGUAAGGCGGCCGGAAGGUGUUGUUGGCAACCCCCCAUCGUGGGGGGAAUAUGACAAAGUCAGCGAUUGCCACUCCAGGACGGGUCGACUUGGCUGUCAAGACAGUGAAGAUAGAUGGAUCCUGAAAAAAACAACAAAGGAAAAAGCAUCAAACAGAGCAUGACUCAGGUCACCCCAUCGAUAAAUCUGGAUAUGAGUAUGCAUAACAGACCUUGGCCUUUCCCUAAUUUCUUCAAUUUGAGGAUCUCAAAAUAAUUUGCUUUCCUUCCCUUUUCACCCUAAUGGGUCACAAUUCCUCUUUGUGUAGAGGAGAAAGCUGAGUGUGUGCAAGCAUGGUAUCCUUAGGAUUUGGGAUGCAGCACUGUGACUCCAGGAGCUCCUACCACCUCUUGGCAGUUUUUGAGCACAACAUCCUACCAGGGGUAUUCACCUCAUAGCACCAGUGGCUGACUAACAGGGAGAACAGAGUGCAGAUAAAUUGUCACUUGCUUCAAGGAUUUUUGAAGUUUCCACUCCAGUAGAGCGAUUUUCUGGGCUUUGAUCCCAAACCUAUCUUUCUCCUGGCAGGUUUUUCCAGAAAUUAAACAAUGCUUUCUGCUGGUUGUCUCACUAGCGGUGCUUCCGUCUCCUUGCACACCCACUUGCAGAAGCAGCCAGGAGAUGGUAUGGCUGUGGGCACCUCUCCCACUGGGCUGGUUUCCUUUUUUAGAAGAGCUGCUCACAUUGAUUUUGGCUUUAGUUAUUUUCCAUAAGAUCUAGAAAUUACUGCAGUGAGAGCUGCCAGCUCUUGGAAUGUGUUUCAGGGGCUCAGAUGAGCCAUGUACAAUUGCAAUAAAAUCAAAACAAGAAUUUUAA